GCCAGGUGCAGUGGCAUACACCUGUAAUCCCAGUGGCUUGGGGAGGCUGAGGCAGGAGGAUCAUGACUUCAAAGCCAGCCUCAGCAACUUAGCAAGUCUCUGAGCAACUCGGUGAGACCCUGUCUCAA
This 128-nucleotide small RNA is filed under the name Marmota monax (woodchuck). The record is from RNAcentral. Lineage: Eukaryota; Metazoa; Chordata; Mammalia; Rodentia; Sciuridae.